CCGCACCGAAUUGUAGUCUAGAAAGGCGCCAUCGGCCUCGCCCGCCGCUCAAAUCCCUUGGAACAGGGUAUCGGAGAAGGUGAGAAUCCUGUACCGUGGCGGUGCGCGGCCGCACGAUGCGCCCUUGCAGAGUCGGGUUGCUUGGGAUUGCAGCUUGAAGUGGGUGGUAAAUUCCAUCUAAAGCUAAAUACUGGCUCAUGACCGAUAGCGAACAAGUACCGUGAGGGAAAGAUGCAAAGAACUUUGAAAAGAGAGUUAAAGAGUGCUUGAAAUCGGAGUGAGGAAACCCGGUUGUGCCCGGCUUCGUGUUGUCGACUCAAUUGUCUUGAAGCAAUGCACUUUGUCAACACGGGUCCUACGCGACUAUACAUGUGUUAUAAUUACCUGGGGGGCUUCGGUGAGCCAGGACAUAGCGCGUGUGUGGUCCCGUCGGACAGAACGGGCACAACCGACCCGUCUAGAAACACGGACCAAGGAGUCUGACACGGAUGCGAGUACCCGGGUGGCAAGCCCGCGUGCGCAAUGAAAGUGAAGGGCGUGCCCCGCCAACCGACCUUGAUCUUCUGUGAAGGGUUUGAGUCGAGCAUCACUGUCGGGACCCGAAAGAUGGUGAACUAUGCCUGAGGAGGUUGAAGUCUGCCGAAAGGCAGAUGGAGGACCGCCGCGAUGCUGACGUGCAAAUCGUUCGUCGAACUUGGGUAUAGGGGCGAAAGACUAAUCGAACCAUCUAGUAGCUGGUUCCCACUGAAGUUUCCCUCAGGAUAGCUGGUUGCAGUGAACAGUUUUGU
Molecule: ribosomal RNA, 788 nt
Filed under: Haptophyta environmental samples
Lineage: Eukaryota; Haptophyta
Description: eukaryotic LSU rRNA
Rfam family: Eukaryotic large subunit ribosomal RNA
Source: RNAcentral